Molecule: ribosomal RNA, 403 nt
Filed under: uncultured bacterium
Lineage: Bacteria
Description: bacterial SSU rRNA
Rfam family: Bacterial small subunit ribosomal RNA
Source: RNAcentral
UGAGGAAUAUUGCUCAAUGGGCGAAAGCCUGAAGCAGCAACGCCGCGUGCGCGAUGAAGGUCUUCGGAUCGUAAAGCGCUUUUGAGAGGGACGAGAUAGGACGGUACCUCUUGAAUAAGUCACGGCUAACUACGUGCCAGCAGCCGCGGUAAAACGUAGGUGGCAAGCGUUAUCCGGAUUCACUGGGCGUAAAGCGCGUGCAGGUGGCUUCGUAAGUUGGACGUUAAAUCUUUCGGCCUAACCGGGAGGUGUCGUUCAAUACUGCGGGGCUUGAGGGUAGAAGAGGGCGGUGGAAUUGCCGGUGUAGUGGUGAAAUGCGUAGAUAUCGGCAGGAACACCUGUGGCGAAAGCGGCCCCCUGGUCUGCUCCGGACACUCAGACGCGAAAGCUAGGGGAGUGAACG